Bombus pyrosoma is the source of this 7430-nucleotide RNA transcript. It is a transcript of the gene named SR-related and CTD-associated factor 4, with no coding region annotated. The transcript has 19 exons. NCBI's taxonomy places the organism in Eukaryota, Metazoa, Arthropoda, Insecta, Hymenoptera, Apidae. The record is from RefSeq and is a predicted model, not a curated record.
UGCGCCCUGAGCCAAGACAUGCGAUUUAUCGCGAAAACAUUAAACGUCCCAAGGAUCACGGAUUUCUGUGAAACAUAGCAAAUCUUUGGUGCUUCGCACCUUUAUCGGGAUGGAGGCGGUUAAGGCAUUUAACGCAGAGCUCUCAGCUCUGUAUGAUGUUAAACCACCAAUUUCGAAAGCUAAGAUGAAUUCUUUAACUAGAGGUGCAAUUAAGGCAAUUAAAUUCUAUAAACAUGUUGUGCAAAGUGUCGAGAAAUUCAUCCAAAAAUGUAAGCCAGAGUACAAAGUACCUGGAUUGUACGUUAUAGAUUCAAUUGUACGUCAGUCCAGACACCAAUUUGGGGUAGAGAAAGAUGUCUUUGCUCCACGCUUUGCCAAGAACAUGCAGACUACUUUCUUAAAUCUUUUGAAGUGCCCUCAGGAAGAUAAAAGCAAAGUAAUAAGAGUUUUAAAUCUUUGGCAGAAGAAUGCAGUGUUCCCUUCGGAGGUUAUACAGCCCUUAUUUGAUCUUGCGGAUCCAAAUCAUCCAAUACAUAAGGAGCAAGCAGUUAAUACCAAUGGUACACUGAAUGCGUCUGCAACAAAUAAUGUUAGUAAUACUGUAACUUCUGUAAAGACUCCUCCUUUGACUGCAAAAAAUGCGGUAAAGGAUCAAAAAUUAUUUUCUUCCGCAAAGCCAAUCGAUCCUGCUUGGCUUGCACAAACAAAAAUAGAAACAGCAAAUAUAGUUAAUGCUAAUAAACUUUUAGGGCAAUCAAAUUCAGCUCAAAUGGAUGUUUCUUUCCUUGAUCAGUUACAACAUUUACAGCAGUUAUUAUUAAAAAAGCAGGAGUCCGCAAAUGAACAGAAAAGUUCUGUAAAAUUUGAUAAAAAGCUCUUAGAUUUUGAUUAUGGUGAGGAAGAGGAUGAUGAUGUUGUUGUUGCUAGUUCACCAGCAGCAACUGCAGGAUCUAAUACUGGUCAACACAAUACAGUUUCAACAGGAAAUAGUUUGGAGAGUCUUGGACUUCUUUUAACAAAUCCUGAGGUUUUGAGACAACUUCAAACAUUACAACAAACAAUGCAGGGAAGUACUUCUUCAUCACAGCAUGAAACAGAAGAAAAGAUGCGGAAACUUCAGCAAAUGAAGCAGCAAGAGGAAGAAUUUGAUAAACAUCUAGCUCAAACUGUUCCUAAUUUACCAUUUGCAUCUGAAUGUGAAUUAAAACCAUCAGAUAUUUUGAAACCAAGUCAACAAAAUACUUAUACAACAAAUGUAAGUAGCGGAGUCAUACAAGAUAUGAGUCAACCACCUCCUGGUUAUCCACCGGCUCUACCGUAUGCCUCUCAACCUUUAUCAAAUAUUAGGCAGAUAAAUCAGCAAGCACAUCAAAAUCAAAAGAGUCCACUUCUUGAUGAACGGCAGGACACGCAAGAUUAUUCUGGAAAUGGUGCAAGGAGAGAUAGUAGCAGUGUAGAAAUUGUAAAUUGUGAAAAUACAAGAUCACAGAGUAGAUCGCCUGAUCGAUACAGACAUCACAGUCGAUCUAGAUCACCACGACACAGAGAUAGGGAUAGAGAUAGAGAUAGGGAUAGGGACAGGGAUCGAGAUCGAGACAGAGAUAGAAAAUCUCGAUCAAGAAGCAGAUCUAGGAGGAGAAGAUCUCGUUCAAGAGACAGAGGUCGUGACAGAAAACGGGAGGAUAGUCGAGAAAAAAUGACUGAGGAAGAACGAGAAAAAGAAAGAGAAAGGCGUAAACGAGGAUUACCACCAAUUGUGAGAGAUAAAUUAAGCGUUUGUAGUACAACUCUUUGGGUGGGACAUCUAUCGAAAUUAGUACAUCAAGAAGAACUUUCAGAUACUUUUGGAGAAUUUGGUGAUAUUGUCAGUAUAGAUUUAAUUUCACCCAGAGGUUGCGCCUUUAUAUGCAUGAAUAGAAGGCAAGAUGCAUAUAGGGCUCUUACUAAGCUUAAAAAUCAUAAAAUGCAAGGAAAGGCAAUCACUUUAGCUUGGGCUCCAGGAAAAGGAGUAAAAGGAAAAGAAUGGAAAGAUUAUUGGGAAGUCGAAUUAGGAGUUAGUUAUAUUCCUUGGAAUAAAUUAGUUAAUGUUACUGAUCAAGAUUUAGAAUUAUUAGAAGAAGGAGGUAUGAUUGACGAAGACACUCUACCGCCCAAUCUAAAAGGUAAAUUAAAGCAUUCCGCAACAAAUGCAGAUGUACUUCAACAACAGUUGCAAUUGCAACAGCAAGCAUUAGUUGCAGCUGCUGGAAUUCCAAAUUUGACGGAUGGUAUUGUAAAUGUAAUGCAACCUUCAACUAGUGCUCAACAGCAACAAUCCCAGCAACAAACUUCACAACAAGGUCAACAGCAGCAACAAGUAAUCGAUACAAGUCAACCUCCACCAAUUAGACCCCCUACAUCAGCUGCUCUUUUACCGCCACCAAAUACACAAUUACAGAUGAUGCCACCUGCUUUUACAAUGCCGGGAGUUCCUCGUAUGAUUGGACCAAUGGGAUUACCAAUGGCACAUAGUUUAAUGCCGAAUGUUCCCAUAGGUGUGCCACCUCCAAAUAUGCAAAGUUUAUUAGGGCCACCGGGAAUGAUGCAAACUAUGUUAACGCCACCUGUAAAUUCUCCAUUUGGAGCAGGUGUUGGCGUCGGCUUAUUAACUCAAAUUCCUUUACCAGCUCCAGCUGCACCUUCUGAUAAACCUAAUUCUACUGGUAUGCCACAUAAUGUUCCUCCAAUAGGAGUUCCUCCGCCAACAACAGAAACAGGUAUGCCAAAUUUACCAAUGUUACGCCAACCAUAUGGUGUAGGCCCUUCUGCACCUUUGCAAAUGCAACUACCUCAACAACAACAUUCUGCUGAUGACAUGGAUGUAGAGAUGGAAGAUGCAAUGCCACAAAGUUCAAAUGGAGCAAAAAAUAAAAGUAAUUUAACUGAACAACAACUUUCACAAAAUGAAGAACGAGCAGAAUCUGAUCAACAAGUAGAGCAGCAUCGAGAUUAUAAAGAAAGAGAAAGAGAUCGUGAAAAUAGGGAAAGAAGAGACAGAGAGACGCAUUUAUCUCACAGAGAUAGGGAAGGUACUGAUUCUAGAAUGGAUCGCGGAAGAGACCGAGGUAGAGGGAGAGAUAGGGGACGCGAUCGUAGAAGAGAUCUUAGAGAUAGAGACAGGGAUGACAGAAGAGAAAGGGAAAACCGGGAAAAUCGAGAAGGAAAUCCACAAACUCAAACUCUUCAGGAAAACGAAACUACCCCAAAAAAAGAUGGGAAACCAAGCUUAGCUGAUCGUUUGCGUCAAUUGGCUGAUGGCACACUGCCACUUGAAGAUCGUGUCGAUCGAAUAAUACCUCGUAAUCGCCAGGAACGAGAUAGAUCCGACAGAAAUUUUGAUGAUUCUCGAUCGGCUCGUGGAGAACCCCUUUCUUCUUUAAUGGAUUUGCCAAAGUUUGGUUUACCUCAAGAAAGAGGUGAUUUUCCAGCUCGACCACCAGAUUUUCGUAAUCCGCAAGAUCCGAGAGAAUAUCAGCAGCAAAGAGAUAGACAAAGUUUCGGAAGAGGUCAUAGAGGAUCACAGAUACACGAGGAAUUUAUGGAUGUUCCAAGGUUGCAAGGAGGAAUAUAUCAAGAGGAAUUUGAUAAUAGAAUACAUGGACAACAAAGAGUAGAAGAAUUUGGAAGACUUGGAUCACUUAGAGAACAAAGGGAGGAAUUUGAUAGGUCUGAAGUACGAGGAAGGAGACCACUCGAUGAUCGGGAUCGGUUCGAUUAUGAAAUUAGGCGAGAUGGUUUUGAUCCACGGCUUCAAGAUGGUUUCGAUCCAAGGGGACACCUCGACCGGGGUGAUUUUGAACCUAGAAGGCGAGAAUUCUUUGGAAUUGAUCCUAUUUUUGGGAUGCCGCCAAUAAUGGGACCUAGAGGACCUAGACCUGGACAUCCUGAUGGGUUUGGACCACGGCCAGCUCCCUUAGGAGCUCGUGGACCAGGUCCAUUAAUGUUCCAUCCACGAGGUUUGGGACCUCGUCCUCUUCGUCCUGGUAUGAGGCCUUUUGGCCCUCGUGGGCCACCUUUUGAUCCCCGAGAGCCGGAUGCCUUUUUCAGACCACCUUUUGAUGAUAUUCGUCCCCAUGUCAGACCACCUUUCGGUCCUAUGGGUCCGCCAUCCAUUAUUCCUCCAGAGUCUGCUGCUCCCUGGAGAAAUCAGGAACUUCCGCCUGGUUCCUGGCCUUCCGAUUCAGAGAAUCACUCACAAAGGGAUAAUCUUAGAGACAAAAAAGGUGGUAAUAAACAUCCGAAUAACAUGGAAAGAGAAAAUCGAAAUAGGGGACGAAAAUCUAGAUGGACUAAUGUUAGUCCAUCUGGAGAGGAAAUUGAAGAAUCAAAAGAACAAGAAUCAACCUCUGCGAAUGUUGAAGGAAAACAAGAACCUGCAAAGGAAGAAGAAGUAGCUGUGAAAGAAGAAGUGAAAGAAGAAAUUGAUAUGAAGGAAGUAAUCUCUAAUGAACAGAAGGAAGAAUUAGUAGAAACGGUUGAGACAAAAGAAGAAGGCGUUGAAAUGAAGAAGGAGGAAGAAGAGGAUUGCAGGGAUUCUUAGACCAAAGUAAAGAGCGAUUUUUCUCUUUAAAAUUUUUUCUUACUCUGUGGAGUGGUGUGAGGGAGAAUUCGUUGCUUCAAUUUGGGUCGAAUUGAAACAGUCAAUUUUAGAAAAUGAGAUACUGAAUUUUAGAAUAAUUGUAUUCAAUCGAUGACAAUUAUUAUUAAAAGUAGUGAUAUUCCGUUUCAAUUCUAACCUCUGUAAUAUUGAUAAAGUUACUGCUUGUUAUUAAAAGUAGAUCUUAAGAAGUAAAUACAACGAAGAAAUUAUAAUAAAAAACAUAAAAAUGUACGAGCUUUUAAUUUACUUUAAAUUAAUAAAUUCGUAUAUAAAUCUAUAGUGACUAUACUAUUCGUGAGGGAAAUAUAUCAAAAACAGAUAUUUUUAUUAAUUUUUGGAACUUUAUCACAUUUCACGUUAAAAAAUUAUCUUGUGCUGUUUUGAGAUUUGUGUAAAACGAGGACAACAGAAAAUACAUCAUCGAUUGAAUAGAAUAAGAUAUCUUUAAUUCAGAGUUUCAGAUUUCAAAGAAAUUGAUUUCGUGAUCGAUUGGACACUUAAGAAACUGUGAUUUGUAAACACAGGACCUAUGACCCGUGGAUACUCCAAGUGGCGACAUAUUAUUUAUUAAAUUGUAAAUACUUUUGUAUUUUCGUAGUGAACAAACAUACAAUAUAUUCGAUUUAAAUAUAUAUAUUUAAUUAUUUCUUAGGAACUUUUGGAAAUACAAGAGUAGUAUUUAAUUUAAAAAAGAAUAUAAAAAUGAAAAUGAAUAUUUUCUACCAUGAAUAGAAGAGAUUUCGAAAUGACUUAUUUUGAUAACUUAUUUAACAUUUUUAUUGAGCUAUAUUUUAGUAUCUUUUUAGAAAUAAAAUUUAAAAGGUUAAAUAUGCAUUUUUUGAAUUGUAAGAAUAUGUUUUUAAUUUGUAAAAAGUGGUUAAUAGUAUCAAUAAUAAUCUGAUAUAUCAAAUUGUUUAAGAAAAAAAGAAAUAUUCGUAAGAAAAAUCUUCAUUUUUAUUGCCAUUUUCCGUUUUAUAUCAAAUAAUUUUUAAAUAUCUCUUUUUAUAUUUCCAACAGUCAAAGAAACAAUUGAAUGUAUACAUUUAAGUCGAUCGUACUGUAUAGAUAGACAAAUCUUAAUAGUAGGAUCUUGAUUAACCGUGUAUCAUAGAAACUUCAAGUAUUUUCACAUGGACAUUUUUCAUUGAUUGAACUCUUGUUCAUUUAAAUUUUUACAAUGUUAUGUCUAACUAAUAGAUAAAAGGUUAUAUAAAAAAAGUACUGUGUUUGUAACUGUAUUGAUUUAAAUAAAUUUGUAUUCUAUUUGAAUAUAAUGUUAAGUAUAUUCAUCUUAAUUAAUAGAUACUUAUCUUAUUUAAUAGAAGUAAUUUGAAGUUAACAAAUUUUGCUCAUUUAAAGAGAAAUUAAACGUUCAAUCAACAGAAAAAGUCAAUGGUUCAAACAAAUAACCGUGAAUUCGGAUAAGCAAGAUUCUACCACUGCAAAUAUUUAAAUAGAUAGAGAGAGAGAUUAUAUAUAUAAAUAUGCGUAUGUAUGGAAGAGAGAAUGUAGAAAAUUGACAGAAUGUUUGCAUGCGUGUAAAUGAUUAUGAAAGAGAGAAGAGGAGAGUGGGAGAAGAUGAAAAAAAGUGAGAAUAUAUAUAGCACCGAUGUUCGGCGCGGCUCAAUCAAACGAAAAAUAAAUAUUUUCUAUAUAACGUCUUUCUUCAUAAGCAGAAUUACAGCCUUUCAUUCCGCUUGGCUCCCGGAAUUGUCUUUACGAUUUUCCUAGAAAAUAUCGAACUUCAAAUAUGUAAAUUUAAUAGUUUACAUAUAUAAAAUUGUUUUUAAAAGAUUUUGUCUGGGAGUCUUCAUUGAAAAAUCAAGAUAAAUUAAUUAUUGUUGGUUAAUUCUACUUAUCAUUAUUUAUAUGAAUGAUUCAAAGAAUUUUUUGAGUUUAUUAAUUUUUGUUUAUAUCUCAAAGAUAUCAUUUAAUUACGUUAUAGGGAAAUGUUUCAGAGGAAAGUCACAUUAAGUCAGUUGUGAGCCAAAUCGUAGUGUUUAUAAAUUUAAAAUUAUUUCUAAUAAUCUAUAAUAUUGAUAUAGCCCUUUUUUUGAAGGGAUAUAAUUAUUUUUUACAAAGCAUCUUAGGUAAUUGUUAAUUGCUGUAGAUAAAAUAUGUAAAAAGAAGACGUUUUUUCUUUUCUUUUAUAAAGAACAGUGAUUUGAAAACGGUGAAUGAUUAUUAUGUAAUAUUAAGCAUAAUUCUAAUGAUUAUUUAAAUUUAUAUUUUUUUUAAUUUGCACUAAAAAAAAUUUUUUUAUAUGCUAUCAACUAUUAAAAAUUAUUAAAUGAUUUUAAAUUAAUUUUAAGUCCGUUUUAACUAACGUAUUACUCUGUUUAGUUCUUUUACUGUGCAAUUUUUAUCUGAAAAAUUUUUCCUCCGAAUAUCGAAUAAUGUAUUAAAGAAACUUUAUUUAAACCGGAUGUACUCUGUAAUUGGAGCCAUCAUUUGCAUGACAAGAAACAAAGAAAUUUGUGAAACAAUGAAAGAGAAAAUAAACAUUUGGGACGAUAUUCGGAAUGGAAUGAAAUCUUUUCAGAGCAGCUUUGGAUACUUGUUCAGUGCUCAUACUCGUGUGUUCACAUGCGUGAGUCUCUCUCUCUGUCGCCACACGACGAUGGAACACCAGCCACCAGGUCGCUUGCGCUCAAACUGAGCGACAAGUGCAAGGCACAAUAAAUCUUGGAAUAAGAAACGGAUCUAUCAUGUGGUUUUUCCUCGAUGUAUUUAUUGUAAACAUGAGCAUUUUAAUAAAAUUGAAAUAUGAAUGUAGGUUGCAAUAUGAGAA